GAGUUUGAUCCUGGCUCAGAUUGAACGCUGGCGGCAGGCCUAACACAUGCAAGUCGAGCGGAUGACGGGAGCUUGCUCCUUGAUUCAGCGGCGGACGGGUGAGUAAUGCCUAGGAAUCUGCCUGGUAGUGGGGGACAACGUUUCGAAAGGAACGCUAAUACCGCAUACGUCCUACGGGAGAAAGCAGGGGACCUUCGGGCCUUGCGCUAUCAGAUGAGCCUAGGUCGGAUUAGCUAGUUGGUGGGGUAAUGGCUCACCAAGGCGACGAUCCGUAACUGGUCUGAGAGGAUGAUCAGUCACACUGGAACUGAGACACGGUCCAGACUCCUACGGGAGGCAGCAGUGGGGAAUAUUGGACAAUGGGCGAAAGCCUGAUCCAGCCAUGCCGCGUGUGUGAAGAAGGUCCUCGGAUUGUAAAGCACUUUAAGUUGGGAGGAAGGGCAGUAAGUUAAUACCUUGCUGUUUUGACGUUACCGACAGAAUAAGCACCGGCUAACUCUGUGCCAGCAG
RNAcentral lists this ribosomal RNA (510 nucleotides) under bacterium enrichment culture clone ALO1_GLFRUDD03FLDCA. Its description in RNAcentral is "bacterial SSU rRNA". It matches the Rfam family "Bacterial small subunit ribosomal RNA", at positions 9 to 514 of the family's 1533-position model. The record is from RNAcentral.